AAGCAGCUCGGACUGUCCUAUGGGGGAGGGGUGGUAACCCUAGCAACAGGUGCCUUUGUGUAUCAGAGAGCCCUGCAGGGGCAAGUGUUUAGUCCUGGUUCUCGUAUUAUGUUCUGAUUUGAGAGUCAGAUAAGAAAAUGAGCAUGGUGUGUGUGCACUGGGUCCACUCUGGGUUAUCUCUUGUAUCUUGCAUGCAAAACCAAGUAAGAUGAAACCAGACCUUCAUCUAAUGAGAACCUUACAGACAAAUGACAAAUUGGCUCAGACCCCCAGUUUCCUGGUAUAAAGAGGAAGGAACAAGCAUCUAGGACCCUGGCAGAAUUUCUACUCACUUGGGCUGCAGGAAUAAAGACCACAGACACUGUUAGGUGACCAGAGACCCUUGCUCAUCACCCCAAUUCUGCCCUUGCCUGCCUGGGGGCACCAGUCUCCCAUCUCUGGGUCAGUUGUUCACCCAGGGACAGAUGGUACCAAGACCUGGCACACACAGGCACACAACGUUAAUAAUUAACGUGAUUGGAAUCAGCUCAAGGGUUACUAAAAUAACACAUGAUUCUAAGGCUGAAGGUGGGUGGGGGUAUCAGGUUCAGGAGUCCAGCGUUUAGGGGCUGACACCUGGGACUGGCUUGUCGCCAUCUGCUUACUGUACAGGAGACCCAUCCACGGUAUCCAUUUAACACCUGGGCCUGACACCUGGCAUGCCAGCUCCACACUGGGUGCCAAACCAAGCCCGAGGGAACAGUCUGAAUGCUUCCAUGCACUGAAGAAAUUGCAUGUAUGCAUCCCUGGGAGGGAAGAGGGAAAGUGAUGGGGAUUUCGAUUACAGCCAACUGAGAUGCUAUCUGUUGACCUGCAGGUUUUCCUUGCUUCACUCGCUAGUUGCUCUUGCUCCAUAAAAGAUGCACCCAGGUCCCAAGGUAGGAAGUUGUCCAGUCCUCCGCUCUCUUGCUGUGUCCUCUGGACCCCAGCCUCCAACCUAGAUGCUCUACAAGCGGCCUCCACUCCC
This is a long non-coding RNA of Ochotona princeps (American pika), 1006 nucleotides long. RefSeq lists it as uncharacterized. Lineage: Eukaryota; Metazoa; Chordata; Mammalia; Lagomorpha; Ochotonidae. The record is from RefSeq and is a predicted model, not a curated record. The transcript has 2 exons.